This 490-nucleotide ribosomal RNA is filed under the name uncultured bacterium. RNAcentral's name for it is "partial 16S ribosomal RNA". It matches the Rfam family "Bacterial small subunit ribosomal RNA", at positions 30 to 507 of the family's 1533-position model. The record is from RNAcentral.
AUUGAACGCUGGCGGCAGGCCUAACACAUGCAAGUCGAACGGUAACAGGAAGAGGCUUGCUUCUUUGCUGACGAGUGGCGGACGGGUGAGUAAUGUCUGGGAAACUGCCUUAUGGAGGGGGAUAACUACUGGAAACGGUAGCUAAUACCGCAUAACGUCGCAAGACCAAAGAGGGGGACCUUCUGGCCUCUUGCCAUCUGAUGUGCCCAGAUGGGAUUAGCUAGUAGGUGGGGUAACGGCUCACCUAGGCGACGAUCCCUAGCUGGUCUGAGAGGAUGACCAGCCACACUGGAACUGAGACACGGUCCAGACUCCUACGGGAGGCAGCAGUGGGGAAUAUUGCACAAUGGGCGCAAGCCUGAUGCAGCCAUGCCACGUGUAUGAAGAAGGCCUUCGGGUUGUAAAGCACUUUCAGCGGGGAGGAAGGGAGUAAAGUUAAUACCUUUGCUCAUUGACGUUACCCGAAGAAGAAGCACCGGCUAACUCCGUG